AUGUGCAGAAUCCAGCUUGGGCAACCUGCUACCGUGCAAGUUGCAUCCAACUUAGUUAGGUUACUGGCCUAUCAGAACAAGAGCUUGUUGCAAGCUGGAAUGAUUGUUGGUGGAUGGGACAAAUAUGAGGGAGGACAAAUUUACUCGGUCCCUCUUGGUGGAACGAUUCUGAAGCAACCAUUCGCAAUUGGAGGAUCUGGUUCUAGUUACCUGUAUGGAUUCAUGGAUCAUGAAUGGAAAGAGGGUAUGACCCAGGAAGAAGCUGAGAAGUUUGUGGUGAAGGUGGUUUCCCUUGCUAUUGCUCGCGAUGGUGCUAGUGGAGGGGUUGUUCGCACUGUUACUAUUAACGAGGAGGGCGUUAAAAGGAGCUUCCACACUGGUGAUGAGCUGCCACUGUGGCAUGAAGAGCUGGAACCACAGAAGUCGCUCCUUGACAUUCUCGCAGCUCAGAGCACUGAUGCAAUGGUCCAUUGA
This 474-nucleotide ribosomal RNA is filed under the name Triticum aestivum (bread wheat). RNAcentral describes it as "partial small subunit ribosomal RNA". The record is from RNAcentral. Lineage: Eukaryota; Viridiplantae; Streptophyta; Magnoliopsida; Poales; Poaceae.